Molecule: ribosomal RNA, 465 nt
Filed under: uncultured bacterium
Lineage: Bacteria
Description: partial 16S ribosomal RNA
Rfam family: Bacterial small subunit ribosomal RNA
Source: RNAcentral
CCUACGGGGGGCAGCAGUAGGGAAUUUUCGGCAAUGGGCGCAAGCCUGAACGAGCGAUGCCGCGUGAGUGAAGAAGGCCUUCGGGUCGUAAAGCUCUGUUGCGGGGGAAAAAAGGCAGCAUCAGGAAAUGGGUGCUGACUGAUGGUGCCCCGCCAGAAAGUCACGGCUAACUACGUGCCAGCAGCCGCGGUAAUACGUAGGUGGCGAGCGUUAUCCGGAAUGAUUGGGUGUAAAGGGUGUGCAGGCGGUCCUGCAAGUCUGGAGUGAAACGCAUGAGCUCAACGUGGGAACUGCCUUUGAAACUGGCAAACUGGAGUGUGUGAGAGGAUAGUGGAAUUCCAGGUGUAGGAGUGAAAUCCGUAGAUAUCUGGAGGAACAUCAGUGGCGAAGGCGACUAUCUGGCACAUAACUGACGCUGAGGAGCGAAAGCGUGGGUAGCAAACAGGAUUAGAUACCCUGGUAGUC